GGAUGAAUCACCGUGAAGGUUCCUGAUCCAAUAUCCACCGCACGAUGAAGCCGACACCUCAGAUCCAACGGCAAACGAAUGAAAACCCAAAUGCAAUGCAAAUCUAAGAUCCCCUAUGCCCCAACUUCUUCAUUUUUUCCAAAAAAAAAAAACAAAAACUUCAUUUCGCCGUGGAGCGCGUUGCGUUUUCUCUUCUUUCUCGUGCCAUUAUAAAGAAAACAAACAACCCACGACGCACCCUCCCUCCGUUGCCAGUUAUCAAUCUAGAGUGAGAAAGCUCACUAGUUCUAGAGAGAGAGAGAGAGUAAUUGAUCAAAUUUUGGUGGAUCUAUAUCCUGCGCUGUGUGCUGCUAUGGCGGGAGGGUCUCUCGCAUUCAAACUAUGGAUCGGCGUCUGUGCUUUGCUCUUCGUCAAUUGUCAUUGCUUUUAUCUCCCUGGUGUCGCCCCUGAGGAUUUCCUUAUGGGAGAUGAAUUGAAGGUGAAAGUAAACAAACUGACUUCUACAAAAACACAACUUCCUUAUUCCUACUAUUCCCUCCCUUACUGUCCUCCAAAGCAUAUAGUCGAUAGUGCUGAAAAUCUUGGGGAAGUUCUCCGUGGUGAUCGCAUUGAAAACUCUCCUUAUGUUGUAAGCCAAGUGUCUUGAGUAGCUUUUAUUGCUUUGUGUAUGAGAAUAUGGCUACUGCUUGGUUGACAGAAGCUUGUUAUUGCAGUUUAAGAUGAGAGAACCACAAAUGUGCAAAAUUUUAUGCCGUAUUACACUUGAUGCGAAAACUGCAAAGGAAUUCAAGGAAAAGAUAGAUGAUGAAUAUCGGGUGAAUAUGUGAGGCAUUCAUUUAAGGGUGUUUAGUUAUAUUCAUAUAUUUAUAUAUUGUGAUACAGCAAAUAACGUGCUAUCUGUGGGGUAAUUUGUGUGAUACAUCAUGCUCUGUUUUCCAACAGGAUCUUGGACAAUCUUCCUUUGGUUUUCCCUAUUCCAAGGCUUGAUCAGGAAAAUUCCAUAGUGUAUCAACAUGGCUUUCAUGUUGGUCUCAGAGGACAAUAUGCUGGAGUAAGUACUGGAUCAAUCACAUUCAGAUUUGAUAAUUUCUUAAAACAUUGCUGUGUAUUUGUGCAAUUCAUUUUUAUCACUUUAUAUGCAUGAUUCUUUUGCAGAGCAAAGAGCAAAAACAUUUUAUUCACAAUCACUUAGCAUUUACCGUCAAAUUUCACAAAGACGCUCAGACAGAUUCAGCCAGGAUUGUUGGAUUUGAAGUAAAACCAUUCAGUGUUAAGCAUGAGUUCGAAGGUGAGUGGAAGAAUGAGAAUACACGUUUAACGACCUGUGAUCCCCAUGCAAAACGAUUGGUCACCAACUCAGAAACUCCUCAGGAGGUGGAGGUUAACAAGGACAUAAUUUUUACAUAUGAUGUUGAGUUCCAGGAAAGUGAUGUAAAGUGGGCAUCUAGGUGGGAUUCCUAUCUUCUGAUGGCUGAUGAUCAGAUUCACUGGUUUUCAAUUGUCAACUCAUUGAUGAUUGUUCUUUUCCUUUCGGGAAUGGUGGCUAUGAUCAUGUUGCGGACACUUUACCGGGAUAUCUCCAAGUACAACCAAUUAGAGACGCAAGAAGAAGCCCAAGAAGAGACUGGGUGGAAAUUGGUCCAUGGGGAUGUUUUCAGGCCUCCAUCAAAUUCAGAUUUACUCUGUGUCUAUGUUGGGACAGGGGUUCAGUUUCUUGGGAUGAUUCUUGUUACCAUGAUCUUUGCUGCCCUUGGUUUCCUUUCCCCUUCAAACCGAGGUGGGUUGAUGACAGCCAUGCUCCUACUCUGGGUAUUUAUGGGCCUGUUUGCUGGAUACUCUUCAGCUCGUCUCUAUAAGUUGUUCAAGGGAACAGAAUGGAAGAAAAUCACCCUCAAAACCGCCUUCAUGUUUCCUGCAGUAGUCUUUGCCAUUUUCUUUGUAUUGAACGCUUUAAUAUGGGGUGAGAAAUCCUCUGGGGCAGUGCCAUUCGGAACCAUGUUUGCACUGGUAUUUUUGUGGUUUGGUAUCUCAGUUCCGCUCGUCUUUGUUGGUAGUUAUAUUGGUUUCAAGAAGCCAGCAAUUGAAGAUCCAGUGAAAACUAAUAAGAUACCGAGGCAGAUCCCAGAACAAGCCUGGUACAUGAACCCAGCCUUCUCUAUCCUUAUUGGAGGCAUUCUCCCAUUUGGCGCGGUGUUUAUCGAGCUAUUCUUCAUCCUUACGUCAAUAUGGUUGCAUCAAUUCUACUACAUUUUUGGUUUCUUAUUCAUUGUCUUUAUCAUCCUGAUAAUCACUUGUGCCGAGAUCACAAUUGUGCUUUGCUACUUCCAGCUAUGCAGUGAGGACUACCUCUGGUGGUGGAGGUCAUACCUGACUUCAGGUUCCUCUGCGCUUUAUCUGUUCCUUUAUGCUGCUUUCUACUUCUUCACAAAGCUUGAAAUUACAAAGCCAGUUUCUGGGUUGCUGUACUUUGGGUACAUGCUGAUUGUCUCAUAUGCUUUCUUUGUGCUGACUGGUACCAUUGGCUUUUAUGCCUGUUUCUGGUUUACCAGGCUCAUCUACUCAUCAGUGAAAAUUGAUUGAUCCAUCAAUCCAUGCUUCUUUGAGUUUGAGAUGGCCAGCUUUUUUCCACAUGAUGAAGCACAUACUGUUUGGACAGGAUCAGGGAUGUUUGAUAUUGGUAGUUAAAGAAUUUACCAUUCUGGUUCAGUGUUGAAUUGUUAAGAAUUAUAAGAAUUUUUAUUAGCAUUUUUCAUACAGGUUCUUUGGCAGGUUUAGUUCUUUUAUGGUUUACUUCUUAUUAUGUUUCACUGUUUUGUUUUGUGACAUCUGGGGGAAUUGUUGAGCAGUCAGCCUGUCCUUCCUAUUCUAGAAAUGAAAAACGAUUCUUGUAUCAUUGAUGCUAGUUCCUGUUCAUUCUAUUUGUGGUUUCCAAUAUAUUGGGAAUCAAUAACCUGUACUCUCUAUAAAAGAAAAUAGAAACCAAAUUCAAUUCUGC
RNAcentral lists this unclassified non-coding RNA (2995 nucleotides) under Hevea brasiliensis (rubber tree). The record is from RNAcentral. Lineage: Eukaryota; Viridiplantae; Streptophyta; Magnoliopsida; Malpighiales; Euphorbiaceae.